AUAUUAUAAUAUUAUAAACACGUCCUACCAUCUAGUCCUACUAUCUAAUCAUGUUCAGUAAAAUU
RNAcentral lists this small RNA (65 nucleotides) under Arabidopsis thaliana (thale cress). RNAcentral's name for it is "ATSL306090". Lineage: Eukaryota; Viridiplantae; Streptophyta; Magnoliopsida; Brassicales; Brassicaceae. The record is from RNAcentral.